CGCUAGGGGAGCUUUGGCUGAGAUGGUAAGAAAUUACUGACCCUCAUCACCUGAUCCGGGUAGUGCCGGCGUAGGGAAGCGAG
RNAcentral lists this non-coding RNA (83 nucleotides) under bovine gut metagenome. RNAcentral's name for it is "TPP riboswitch (THI element)". It matches the Rfam family "TPP riboswitch aptamer (THI element)", at positions 7 to 92 of the family's 105-position model. Rfam says of the family: Vitamin B(1) in its active form thiamin pyrophosphate (TPP) is an essential coenzyme that is synthesised by coupling of pyrimidine and thiazole moieties in bacteria. The previously detected thiamin-regulatory element, thi box was extended, resulting in a new, highly conserved RNA secondary structure, the THI element, which is widely distributed in eubacteria and also occurs in some archaea. Analysis of operon structures identified a large number of new candidate thiamin-regulated genes, mostly transporters, in various prokaryotic organisms. The record is from RNAcentral.